AUUUGAAGAGUUCAGUUUAAACCCCUUUACAAGUUACAAUUGAAGGGCAAGUCUGGUGCCAGCAGCCGCGGUAAUUCCAGCUCCAAUAGCGUAUAUUAAAGUUGUUGCAGUUAAAAAGCUCGUAGUUAAUUUUCUGUUAAUUUUUAUAUACAAUGCUACGGUAUUUAUAUAAUAUUAACAUAAUUCAUAUUACUUUUUAGUAUAUGAAACUUUACUUUGAGAAAAUUAGAGUGCUUAAAGCAGGAAAAUGAAUAAAAAAUUCCAGCAUGGAAUUAUUUUAGGG
RNAcentral lists this ribosomal RNA (283 nucleotides) under Cryptosporidium ryanae. Its description in RNAcentral is "partial 18S small subunit ribosomal RNA". It matches the Rfam family "Eukaryotic small subunit ribosomal RNA", at positions 509 to 825 of the family's 1831-position model. Lineage: Eukaryota; Apicomplexa; Conoidasida; Eucoccidiorida; Cryptosporidiidae. The record is from RNAcentral.